RNAcentral lists this ribosomal RNA (635 nucleotides) under uncultured Bacteroidales bacterium. Its description in RNAcentral is "bacterial SSU rRNA". It matches the Rfam family "Bacterial small subunit ribosomal RNA", at positions 58 to 682 of the family's 1533-position model. Lineage: Bacteria; Pseudomonadati; Bacteroidota; Bacteroidia; Bacteroidales. The record is from RNAcentral.
CAAGUCGAGGGGCAGCAUGGUCUUAGCUUGCUAAGGCCGAUGGCGACCGGCGCACGGGUGAGUAACACGUAUCCAACCUGCCGUCUACUCUUGGACAGCCUUCUGAAAGGAAGAUUAAUACAAGAUGGCAUCAUGAGUCCGCAUGUUCACAUGAUUAAAGGUAUUCCGGUAGACGAUGGGGAUGCGUUCCAUUAGAUAGUAGGCGGGGUAACGGCCCACCUAGUCUUCGAUGGAUAGGGGUUCUGAGAGGAAGGUCCCCCACAUUGGAACUGAGACACGGUCCAAACUCCUACGGGAGGCAGCAGUGAGGAAUAUUGGUCAAUGGGCGCAGGCCUGAACCAGCCAAGUAGCGUGAAGGAUGACUGCCCUAUGGGUUGUAAACUUCUUUUAUAAAGGAAUAAAGUCGGGUAUGUAUACCCGUUUGCAUGUACUUUAUGAAUAAGGAUCGGCUAACUCCGUGCCAGCAGCCGCGGUAAUACGGAGGAUCCGAGCGUUAUCCGGAUUUAUUGGGUUUAAAGGGAGCGUAGAUGGAUGUUUAAGUCAGUUGUGAAAGUUUGCGGCUCAACCGUAAAAUUGCAGUUGAUACUGGAUAUCUUGAGUGCAGUUGAGGCAGGCGGAAUUCGUGGUGUAGCGGU